GAAAUGGUUAUAAAGCAAUCGUAACCCCACAAAUCAAUUACUCCGUUCGUUUCGUGUGAGCGGUAGUGGCAUUUGUCUAAUCUCUCUCAAUCUUCCCGUUUUUCCUUCCGUUUAACUUUGCAUUUACUCUAAAAUUAAUAAGUUAUAAUGCGAGCUAAGUGGAGAAAGAAGAGAAUGCGAAGGCUAAAGCGUAAAAGGAGGAAGAUGCGUGAAAGGUCUAAGUAGAUGGCUACCUAAAAUAGGUGAAUCUUUGCCAGAGACAUUCAUGACACUGAUAUGAAGACUUCUUAGUUGGAUGUGUGUGAUGGUGAACCUGGCAUUUUUUUUCCUUGGACUUUCCACCCGUUUGGAAUUUUAAAUACGAGACUCCGUUACUUUUUACAAGGCUUGUAAUUAACAUCUCUUGAAGUUUAAUAAAGAGUUCUCAUGAAUGUUUUAUUACAUA
Stegodyphus dumicola is the source of this 445-nucleotide long non-coding RNA. RefSeq lists it as uncharacterized. The record is from RefSeq and is a predicted model, not a curated record. Lineage: Eukaryota; Metazoa; Arthropoda; Arachnida; Araneae; Eresidae.